UUAGUUUGGAACGUCAGGGGUUUGAACAACCCAGCUAGGAGAGCUGUGGUUAAGGAGGUGGUGUAUCGCAACAAUGUAUCCCUAGUUUGUUUGCAAGAAACGAAGCUAUCAUUCAUCGAUAGAGCUAUGGUGGCACAGUGCUGUGGCAAUGAGUUCUCGGAGUUUGCAUACCUACCCGCUGAGGGCACCAGAGGGGGUGUGCUGCUAGCAUGGAAAGGAAACCACUACUCCCUGCCCGGUGUCACCAUUCUCACACACGCCGUGGCUGUGACUGGGUGCAACGCCAAGGGAGAGCAACUGGGGAUCAUCGGUGUAUAUGGCCCGCAGAAUUGGGACGAGAAGGUGCAGUUUCUUCAAGAGCUCAGGCAUAUGGUGCAGAACUCGCUAUCAGCUGGGGUUGCCCUAGCCUUAGUCGGAGACUUCAACCUCAUCACGCGGGCAGCUGACAAGAACAACUCCCGGAUCAACCGUUGA
RNAcentral lists this ribosomal RNA (474 nucleotides) under Triticum aestivum (bread wheat). RNAcentral's name for it is "partial small subunit ribosomal RNA". Lineage: Eukaryota; Viridiplantae; Streptophyta; Magnoliopsida; Poales; Poaceae. The record is from RNAcentral.